GGCACUUCUCAGGUGACACACCCUGGAAUCGGGCUCCCUCCUCUCUGGUUCCAGGUGUGUCACUCAAAAACCACA
This is a non-coding RNA of Myotis davidii, 75 nucleotides long. Lineage: Eukaryota; Metazoa; Chordata; Mammalia; Chiroptera; Vespertilionidae. The record is from Rfam.